GCUUUUGGAAACUCUUGGGUUUUUCAAUGAACCCUCGUCUCUCUCACAAAACCGCGUCAAACACCGCCUCUCAGACCUCUCUCUCGCGUACUUUCUACCUCAAAGUCGCUCAUCAACGAACCCUCUCACGCUCUCAAACUCAAAGAAUCACUCUCUCUCACUUCUCACGAUAUCUCCAUAACAGCAAGUGAAAAGGAUAAAAGGAAAAAGGAGAAGCUCUUACAAAGUGUCACGGCGGUGGUGAAAGGCGUGAAGAAGCUGGCCUCCCAAUUCAGGUAAUGGAUUUUGGGAUUUUAGGUUUUGUUGAGAUUUUCCCUCCGAUUUUCUGUGUUGAUUCCUCCUCUCUUACUGAUUUUUCUCUCUCUAUUUAUCUCCCAGCUUAGGGUUUCGAAUUGGUGCCCUUGUGUUCAAAAGCGU
Molecule: long non-coding RNA, 417 nt
Filed under: Lathyrus oleraceus (garden pea)
Lineage: Eukaryota; Viridiplantae; Streptophyta; Magnoliopsida; Fabales; Fabaceae
Description: Pisum sativum (pea) long non-coding RNA (PSAT_LNC003829)
Source: RNAcentral